This 253-nucleotide ribosomal RNA is filed under the name uncultured bacterium. Its description in RNAcentral is "partial 16S ribosomal RNA". It matches the Rfam family "Bacterial small subunit ribosomal RNA", at positions 524 to 776 of the family's 1533-position model. The record is from RNAcentral.
UACAGAGGGGGCAAGCGUUGUUCGGAAUUACUGGGCGUAAAGGGCGUGAAGGCGGUCUGCUAAGUCGAACGUGAAAUCCCCGGGCUCAACCCGGGAACUGCGUCCGAUACUGGCAGGCUUGAAUCCGGGAGAGGGAUGCGGAAUUCCAGGUGUAGCGGUGAAAUGCGUAGAUAUCUGGAGGAACACCGGUGGCGAAGGCGGCAUCCUGGACCGGUAUUGACGCUGUAGCGCGAAAGCUAGGGGAGCAAACGGG